Non-coding RNA from Triticum aestivum (bread wheat), 124 nucleotides. The record is from Rfam. Lineage: Eukaryota; Viridiplantae; Streptophyta; Magnoliopsida; Poales; Poaceae.
CAUAUACUCCCUCCGUCCAGAAAUACUUGUCGAAGAAAUGCAAAAAAUGGAUGUAUCUAGAACUAAAAUACUUCUAGAUGCAUCCAUUCCUCCGACAAGUAUUUCCGGACGGAGGGAGUAUGAU